Molecule: non-coding RNA, 31 nt
Filed under: Mus musculus (house mouse)
Lineage: Eukaryota; Metazoa; Chordata; Mammalia; Rodentia; Muridae
Source: RNAcentral
UGUGAUGUUCUAUGCCAAGUGUAUGAGUGAG